This 72-nucleotide transfer RNA is filed under the name Ovis aries (sheep). It matches the Rfam family "tRNA". From Rfam's summary of the family: Transfer RNA (tRNA) molecules are approximately 80 nucleotides in length. Their secondary structure includes four short double-helical elements and three loops (D, anti-codon, and T loops). Lineage: Eukaryota; Metazoa; Chordata; Mammalia; Artiodactyla; Bovidae. The record is from Rfam by way of RNAcentral.
UCCCUCAUAGCUCAGUUGGUAAAUCAUCUGCCUGCAAUGCAGAAGACCUGGGUUCAAUCCCUGGCUUGGGAA